GGGUUGUGAGGUUAAGUGACUAAGCGUACACGGUGGAUGCCUAGGCAGUCAGAGGCGAUGAAGGGCGUGCUAAUCUGCGAAAAGCGUCGGUAAGGUGAUAUGAACCGUUACAACCGGCGAUACCCGAAUGGGGAAACCCAGUGUGUUUCGACACACUAUCAUGUCAUGAAUACAUAGUGGCAUGAGGCGAACCGGGGGAACUGAAACAUCUAAGUACCCCGAGGAAAAGAAAUCAACCGAGAUUCCCCCAGUAGCGGCGAGCGAACGGGGAGGAGCCCAGAACCUGAAUCGGCUUGUGUGUUAGUGGAAGCGUCUGGAAAGUCGCGCAGCAAAGGGUGAUAGCCCCGUACACUAAAAUGCACAGGUCGUGAGUUCGAUGAGUAGGGCGGGACACGUGACAUCCUGUCUGAAUAUGGGGGGACCAUCCUCCAAGGCUAAAUACUCCUGACUGACCGAUAGUGAACCAGUACCGUGAGGGAAAGGCGAAAAGAACCCCGGCGAGGGGAGUGAAAUAGAACCUGAAACCGUGUACGUACAAGCAGUGGGAGCACCUUCGUGGUGUGACUGCGUACCUUUUGUAUAAUGGGUCAGCGACUUAUAUUUUGUAGCAAGGUUAACCGUAUAGGGGAGCCGUAGGGAAACCGAGUCUUAACUGGGCGAAUAGUUGCAAGGUAUAGACCCGAAACCCGGUGAUCUAGCCAUGGGCAGGUUGAAGGUUGGGUAACACUAACUGGAGGACCGAACCGACUAAUGUUGAAAAAUUAGCGGAUGACUUGUGGCUGGGGGUGAAAGGCCAAUCAAACCGGGAGAUAGCUGGUUCUCCCCGAAAGCUAUUUAGGUAGCGCCUCGUGAACUCAUCUUCGGGGGUAGAGCACUGUUUCGGCUAGGGGGCCAUCCCGGCUUACCAAACCGAUGCAAACUCCGAAUACCGAAGAAUGUUAUCACGGGAGACACACGGCGGGUGCUAACGUCCGUCGUGAAGAGGGAAACAACCCAGACCGCCAGCUAAGGUCCCAAAGUCAUGGUUAAGUGGGAAACGAUGUGGGAAGGCAUAGACAGCCAGGAUGUUGGCUUAGAAGCAGCCAUCAUUUAAAGAAAGCGUAAUAGCUCACUGGUCGAGUCGGCCUGCGCGGAAGAUGUAACGGGGCUAAACCAUGCACCGAAGCUGCGGCAGCGACGCUUAGGCGUUGUUGGGUAGGGGAGCGUUCUGUAAGCCGUUGAAGGUGGCCUGUGAGGGUUGCUGGAGGUAUCAGAAGUGCGAAUGCUGACAUAAGUAACGAUAAAGCGGGUGAAAAGCCCGCUCGCCGGAAGACCAAGGGUUCCUGUCCAACGUUAAUCGGGGCAGGGUGAGUCGACCCCUAAGGCGAGGCUGAAAAGCGUAGUCGAUGGGAAACAGGUUAAUAUUCCUGUACUUGGUGUUACUGCGAAGGGGGGACGGAGAAGGCUAGGCUAGCCGGGCGACGGUUGUCCCGGUUUAAGCGUGUAGGGGGUGUGACCUGGUAAAUCCGGUUACAUAUCAACCCUGAGGCGUGAUGACGAUGCACUACGGUGCAGAAGUAGUUGAUGCCCUGCUUCCAGGAAAAGCCUCUAAGCUCCAGGUAACAUUGAAUCGUACCCCAAACCGACACAGGUGGUCAGGUAGAGAAUACCAAGGCGCUUGAGAGAACUCGGGUGAAGGAACUAGGCAAAAUGGUGCCGUAACUUCGGGAGAAGGCACGCUGGCAUGUAGGUGAAGUCCCUUGCGGAUGGAGCUGAAGCCAGUCGAAGAUACCAGCUGGCUGCAACUGUUUAAUAAAAACACAGCACUGUGCAAACACGAAAGUGGACGUAUACGGUGUGACGCCUGCCCGGUGCUGGAAGGUUAAUUGAUGGGGUCAGCCGCAAGGCGAAGCUCUUGAUCGAAGCCCCAGUAAACGGCGGCCGUAACUAUAACGGUCCUAAGGUAGCGAAAUUCCUUGUCGGGUAAGUUCCGACCUGCACGAAUGGCGUAAUGAUGGCCAGGCUGUCUCCACCCGAGACUCAGUGAAAUUGAACUCGCUGUGAAGAUGCAGUGUACCCGCGGCAAGACGGAAAGACCCCGUGAACCUUUACUAUAGCUUGACACUGAACAUUGAGCCUUGAUGUGUAGGAUAGGUGGGAGGCUUUGAAGCGUGGACGCCAGUCUGCGUGGAGCCAUCCUUGAAAUACCACCCUUUAAUGUUUGAUGUUCUAACUCGGCCCCGUGAUCCGGGGUGAGGACAGUGUCUGGUGGGUAGUUUGACUGGGGCGGUCUCCUCCCAAAGAGUAACGGAGGAGCACGAAGGUUAGCUAAUCACGGUCGGACAUCGUGAGGUUAGUGCAAAGGCAUAAGCUAGCUUGACUGCGAGAGUGACGGCUCGAGCAGGUACGAAAGUAGGUCUUAGUGAUCCGGUGGUUCUGAAUGGAAGGGCCAUCGCUCAACGGAUAAAAGGUACUCCGGGGAUAACAGGCUGAUACCGCCCAAGAGUUCAUAUCGACGGCGGUGUUUGGCACCUCGAUGUCGGCUCAUCACAUCCUGGGGCUGAAGUAGGUCCCAAGGGUAUGGCUGUUCGCCAUUUAAAGUGGUACGCGAGCUGGGUUUAGAACGUCGUGAGACAGUUCGGUCCCUAUCUGCCGUGGGCGUUGGAAGAUUGAGAGGGGUUGCUCCUAGUACGAGAGGACCGGAGUGAACGCACCACUGGUGUUCGGGUUGUCAUGCCAAUGGCAUUGCCCGGUAGCUAAGUGCGGAAAAGAUAAGCGCUGAAAGCAUCUAAGCGCGAAACUUGCCUCAAGAUGAGUCUUCCUGGGCCUUCAAGGCCCCUGAAGGAACGUUUAAGACUAAGACGUUGAUAGGCUGGGUGUGUAAGUGCAGCGAUGCAUUGAGCUAACCAGUACUAAUGAUCCGUGAGGCUUAACCUUACAACACCGAAGGUGUUU
RNAcentral lists this ribosomal RNA (2934 nucleotides) under Serratia marcescens. RNAcentral's name for it is "bacterial LSU rRNA". It matches the Rfam family "Bacterial large subunit ribosomal RNA". The record is from RNAcentral. Lineage: Bacteria; Pseudomonadati; Pseudomonadota; Gammaproteobacteria; Enterobacterales; Yersiniaceae.